RNAcentral lists this ribosomal RNA (327 nucleotides) under Triticum aestivum (bread wheat). Its description in RNAcentral is "partial small subunit ribosomal RNA". The record is from RNAcentral. Lineage: Eukaryota; Viridiplantae; Streptophyta; Magnoliopsida; Poales; Poaceae.
AUGCAAUUGAGCACACGCUCUCCCCAGGAUCACCCGAAUGCUUGUCCACGACACGCCCUGAAAACACAUAUCGUUACGCAUAGUCCAAAUGCUCCAAAUGGUAGCAACACAAGCAAUGUUAACAAUAGAAACAAUAGUCUUCUUGUUAUUAGCACCCCACGGAUCAGACAGGGUUUUCAUGCAAUGUGGAUAUCUAAAGUUAAAGGAUUCAACAAUGUUUUUCUAGGUUUCUUUUGCAACUACACAAUCGAAAAACAAAUGGUUCACAGACUCGUUUUCACAGCAAAACAAGCAGGUUUUAUCAUCCACAUGACGUCUCUUGGCUAG